AACACGGGUAGAAGCAUCAGUUUACCCUAAAUCAAUCCCUAAUCUUCGAAGAACACUCAACACUCCACUCCCAACCCUAAGCUCGAGGCUGGACAAUCUGCAAACGACGGACAACCGACGAACGCCGUGAAGAACACUCCCACCGUUGCGGGUCGUCGCGCACCGUUGCGGCUGCUGGGUUUCUGGGUUUUGGUCGCGGGUCGUGAAGCACCGUUGCGGGUUCUGGGUUUCUGCCUUCUGGGUUUCUGGGUUUUGGUUGCUGGUCGUGAAGCACCGUUGCGGGUUCUGGGUUUCUGGGUUUAUGGCUUCUGUUCGUUCUUCACUUGCGAUGGAACAAUCACAAAGUAACCCACAGCCACAAGAUACUGAAGAUGUUGAACUUCAAUUCAAAAGGCUUUUUAUUGAUCUUCUGUCGUGGUCCCCUCCCUCUGCUCUGCCUUGCUCGCCACAAUUUCUCCAGCCCCCUCUGCUCUGCCGUGGUCGCCUCCCUCUGCUCUUCCGUGCUUGCUGAAGAUUCUGGUAGGAAUGAGAUGAGAAUCAUAAUGAGGCAUCAACAACCCAGACAAUACCUUAUCCCCUUGAAGCACAUGAGCAGAAGCAUAUGCAGCAUUUUGGAGGUUGAAUUUUGUAAAAGACUGUUGUUUUUCAAAGGUGAUUCUUGAAAGUGACAAUAUAGAAGUAAUGGGUGUCCUCAAACAGAGAAGGUGUUUUAAUUCUUGUUUUGGAACUUCUAUUACUGAUGCCAUUUCACUUAUUAGAAAUUUUAGAUUUGUGGAAUUUAGUCAUGUUAAGAGGAAAGGGAAUAUAGUAGCUCAUGAAUUAGCAACCUUAGCUCUUACCACUCCAAAUUGCAUGUGGAUGGAAGAUGCCCCAAGCCAUGUUCAGAACUUGGCUAUGUUAGAUGUCUUUCCUUUAUCCUGAAUGAAAUUUCCUUUGUUUCAAAAAAUGUAUGGAAGAAUACUAUAUGUAUAUGCUGCAUAUUUAUGUUAGGUGCUGACUCUACAUAGCUUUCUUUUUGAA
This is a long non-coding RNA of Arachis duranensis, 1020 nucleotides long. RefSeq lists it as uncharacterized. Lineage: Eukaryota; Viridiplantae; Streptophyta; Magnoliopsida; Fabales; Fabaceae. The transcript is spliced from 3 exons. The record is from RefSeq and is a predicted model, not a curated record.